This 497-nucleotide ribosomal RNA is filed under the name uncultured bacterium. Its description in RNAcentral is "partial 16S ribosomal RNA". It matches the Rfam family "Bacterial small subunit ribosomal RNA", at positions 28 to 507 of the family's 1533-position model. The record is from RNAcentral.
GACGAACGCUGGCGGCGUGCCUAAUACAUGCAAGUUGAGCGCUGAAGGUUGGUACUUGUACCAACUGGAUGAGCAGCGAACGGGUGAGUAACGCGUGGGGAAUCUGCCUUUGAGCGGGGGACAACAUUUGGAAACGAAUGCUAAUACCGCAUAAAAACUUUAAACACAAGUUUUAAGUUUGAAAGAUGCAAUUGCAUCACUCAAAGAUGAUCCCGCGUUGUAUUAGCUAGUUGGUGAGGUAAAGGCUCACCAAGGCGAUGAUACAUAGCCGACCUGAGAGGGUGAUUGGCCAAAUUGGGAAUGAGACCACGCCCCAACUUCCUCGGGAGGCAGCAGUAGGGAAUCCUCGGGCAAUGAAGAAAGUCCGAACGGGGCAAGGCCGGUGAGGUGAGAAGGGUUUUGGAUCGGUAAACUCUGUUGGUAGAGAAGAACGUUGGUGAGAGUGGAAAGCUCAUCAAGUGACGGUAACUACCCAGAAAGGGACGGCUAACUACGUG